GGGGCCGCAACGGUUUCGACAGGUUGGCGAAAGCUAGCCCGUGAUGCAGGUCGAGAGUGAGUCGUCUCUCGUAAAUCCAAGGCUCAACAAAAAAGUAACUGCGAACAACAUCGUAAGCUUCAAGCGCGUAGCAGUAGCUGCCUAAGAGUCUGUAAUCGACUGCGCUACUCUUAGUUCGACUCCGUUAAGAACUAAGGGUCAACCCCAACGGAUGCACUCUCUAGCCGCCUCUGGUCGGCUGUAGAGUUAAGAUAAUACCAGAGCAUCCCACCAUCCGGGAUAAGAGAUGGUUCCCGCCUUGAGGAUAAGAAAGGCUAAACCUGUGAAAGAGCGGAAAGUCAAUACCCAGCCUGGACAGCAGUUCAACUCUGCUCGGCUCCAUUU
Pleurocapsa sp. PCC 7327 is the source of this 384-nucleotide non-coding RNA. It matches the Rfam family "transfer-messenger RNA". From Rfam's summary of the family: Bacterial tmRNA, also known as 10Sa RNA or SsrA, is named for its dual tRNA and mRNA-like properties. Its role is to liberate the mRNA from a stalled ribosome. The record is from Rfam. NCBI's taxonomy places the organism in Bacteria, Bacillati, Cyanobacteriota, Cyanophyceae, Pleurocapsales, Pleurocapsaceae.